UGGGGAAUCUUUGGACAAUGGGGGCAACCCUGAUCCAGCCAUGCCGCGUGAGUGAUGAAGGCCUUAGGGUCGUAAAGCUCUUUCGCCUGUGAAGAUAAUGACGGUAGCAGGUAAAGAAACCCCGGCUAACUCCGUGCCAGCAGCCGCGGUAAUACGGAGGGGGUUAGCGUUGUUCGGAAUUACUGGGCGUAAAGCGCACGUAGGCGGACCAGAAAGUUGGGGGUGAAAUCCCGGGGGCUCAACCCCGGAACUGCCUCCAAAACUAUUGGUCUAGAGUUCGAGAGAGGUGAGUGGAAUUCCAAGUGUAGAGGUGAAAUUCGUAGAUAUUUGGAGGAACACCAGUGGCGAAGGCGGCUCACUGGCUCGAUACUGACGCUGAGGUGCGAAAGUGUGGGGAGCAAACAGGAUUAGAUACCCUGGUAGUCCACACCGUAAAACGAUGAAUGCCAGUCGUCGGGUAGCAUGCUAUUCGGUGACACACCU
This 483-nucleotide ribosomal RNA is filed under the name uncultured bacterium. RNAcentral's name for it is "bacterial SSU rRNA". It matches the Rfam family "Bacterial small subunit ribosomal RNA", at positions 355 to 853 of the family's 1533-position model. The record is from RNAcentral.